Molecule: unclassified non-coding RNA, 166 nt
Filed under: fungal sp.
Lineage: Eukaryota; Fungi
Description: partial internal transcribed spacer region
Rfam family: Eukaryotic small subunit ribosomal RNA (bases 1-46)
Source: RNAcentral
AAGUCGUAACAAGGUUUCCGUAGGUGAACCUGCGGAAGGAUCAUCGUUGGAGUGAUACCUGUGGGUAUUUUAAUUUUUACAAUCCCAACCAAAAGGAGAGGAGUUGACUGAGGAGGAUUUGUCUUUUGGAGAAACAAAACUUUCAACAACGGAUAUCUUGGUUCUC